GCGCCUGUAGCUCAGCUGGAUAGAGCAACAGCCUCCGACGCUGUGUGCCGUGGGUUCGAAUCCCGUUAGGCGCGCCA
This 77-nucleotide transfer RNA is filed under the name Ruminiclostridium sp. RNAcentral's name for it is "tRNA-Arg". It matches the Rfam family "tRNA". Rfam says of the family: Transfer RNA (tRNA) molecules are approximately 80 nucleotides in length. Their secondary structure includes four short double-helical elements and three loops (D, anti-codon, and T loops). Further hydrogen bonds mediate the characteristic L-shaped molecular structure. tRNAs have two regions of fundamental functional importance: the anti-codon, which is responsible for specific mRNA codon recognition, and the 3' end, to which the tRNAs corresponding amino acid is attached (by aminoacyl-tRNA synthetases). tRNAs cope with the degeneracy of the genetic code in two manners: having more than one tRNA (with a specific anti-codon) for a particular amino acid; and 'wobble' base-pairing, i.e. permitting non-standard base-pairing at the 3rd anti-codon position. Lineage: Bacteria; Bacillati; Bacillota; Clostridia; Eubacteriales; Oscillospiraceae. RNAcentral also lists the same sequence under 1 other name. The record is from RNAcentral.